This 76-nucleotide transfer RNA is filed under the name Candidatus Peregrinibacteria bacterium CG11_big_fil_rev_8_21_14_0_20_46_8. RNAcentral's name for it is "tRNA-Met". It matches the Rfam family "tRNA". Rfam says of the family: Transfer RNA (tRNA) molecules are approximately 80 nucleotides in length. Their secondary structure includes four short double-helical elements and three loops (D, anti-codon, and T loops). Further hydrogen bonds mediate the characteristic L-shaped molecular structure. tRNAs have two regions of fundamental functional importance: the anti-codon, which is responsible for specific mRNA codon recognition, and the 3' end, to which the tRNAs corresponding amino acid is attached (by aminoacyl-tRNA synthetases). tRNAs cope with the degeneracy of the genetic code in two manners: having more than one tRNA (with a specific anti-codon) for a particular amino acid; and 'wobble' base-pairing, i.e. permitting non-standard base-pairing at the 3rd anti-codon position. Lineage: Bacteria; Candidatus Peregrinibacteriota. The record is from RNAcentral.
GGGCCCGUAGCUCAGAGGUUAGAGCAGUCGGCUCAUAACCGAUUGGCCGUUGGUUCAAUUCCAACCGGGCCCACCA